This 465-nucleotide ribosomal RNA is filed under the name uncultured bacterium. RNAcentral's name for it is "partial 16S ribosomal RNA". It matches the Rfam family "Bacterial small subunit ribosomal RNA", at positions 28 to 507 of the family's 1533-position model. The record is from RNAcentral.
GACGAACGCUGGCGGCGUGCUUAACACAUGCAAGUCGAACGGAAAGGCCCUGCUUGCAGGGUACUCGAGUGGCGAACGGGUGAGUAACACGUGGGUGAUCUGCCCUGCACUUCGGGAUAAGCCUGGGAAACUGGGUCUAAUACCGGAUAGGAGCCAUUUUUAGUGUGAUGGUUGGAAAGUUUUUUCGGUGUAGGAUGAGCUCGCGGCCUAUCAGCUUGUUGGUGGGGUAAUGGCCUACCCAGGCGGCGACGGGUAGCCGGCCUGAGAGGGUGGACGGCCACAUUGGGACUGAGAUACGGCCCAGACGCCUACGGGAGGCAGCAGUGGGGAAUAUUGCACAAUGGGCGCAAGCCUGAUGCAGCGACGCCGCGUGGGGGAUGACGGCCUUCGGGUUGUAAACUCCUUUCGCUAGGGACGAAGCUUUUUGUGACGGUACCUAGAUAAGAAGCACCGGCUAACUACGUG